This 253-nucleotide ribosomal RNA is filed under the name uncultured bacterium. RNAcentral's name for it is "partial 16S ribosomal RNA". It matches the Rfam family "Bacterial small subunit ribosomal RNA", at positions 524 to 776 of the family's 1533-position model. The record is from RNAcentral.
UACGGAGGUGGCAAGCGUUGCUCGGAAUCACUGGGCGUAAAGGGCGCGUAGGCGGGGAGGUAAGUCGGGUGUGAAAUCCCUCGGCCCAACCGAGGAACUGCGCCCGAGACUGCUUCUCUUGAGUCCCGGAGAGGAAGGUGGAAUUCCCGGUGUAGCGGUGAAAUGUGUAGAGAUCGGGAGGAACACCGGUGGCGAAGGCGGCUCUCUGGGACGGUACUGACGCUGAGACGCGAAAGCGUGGGGAGCGAACAGG